CGAAAAUAGAGUGGCAGGUCGGUAGCUCCUGCGCCCGUUCACCGGGUUCUUCCCAGCCCCGG
Molecule: non-coding RNA, 62 nt
Filed under: unclassified sequences
Source: RNAcentral